CGCCGCCCCCAUCUUCUUCCUUCUCCCAGAUCCACUCCUUUCCGUCCGCCGCACACCCACCGCUCCGACGUUCUCUCGUUCCUCGACCCAGUCCCCACCUCCCCAUCCUCUCCCGUCCUUCCUCCACCCACACCUAGUGGCAACUAUCCCCUCCCCCUCCGCCCUGUCUUCACGUCGCAUCCGCAGCAUGCGCUGCUGAUCUGCUGAGUUUGACGGCGGCAGCAGCCCGAGUGAUGAGAUCCGCGUCUUGGGCGCGCGCAGAUCCAGCAUGGGCUCAUCCCCCGAUGUUGGCCUGGUCGGAGCAGAGAAACCUUGCGGUGGCCGGUUUAGGACAAUGGCUCGCAGGAGGCCGUAGUGUACCCUAGCCACCGCUGGAUUCCGGUGUGGCUCCCGCCCCUUCUGUUGCCAUCCUCGACACCAUGGCCUCAUGAUGCUGCUUCGACCACAGGGUACCCAGUAAAGACAGAAGGCACAUGUUCGUCAACCGGCUGCACUGUGCUAUGUCUAGGUGGUGUUGUAGCAGCCGUACUGCUGCAUGGCGCACAAUAGAGCUCCAGAGGGUGGACACGAUAACUGUUGGUGGAGCUGCUCCGGAUCAACCAGGGGUAUGAUUGGGUAGCAGGCUUCUUGGUGCUGGCCAACACAAUCCGCCAUGACAUGAUACUUACCAUCAGGAGGGGCGACGACAAGAACCUGUAUAGCAGCCUCAAUAGUAUCAUAUUUCUGUUGUUGUAAUUGGAUUGUACUGGUUCCUAGCGUUGAUGUGUGAUAUAUUUUGUCAAUAUAUUCUGUAAAUUACCAUUUCAUGGAGGAUUUUGUAAACUGAUGUGGUGUAGAUACCAAUAGA
Molecule: long non-coding RNA, 847 nt
Organism: Triticum aestivum (bread wheat)
Lineage: Eukaryota; Viridiplantae; Streptophyta; Magnoliopsida; Poales; Poaceae
Exons: 4
Source: RefSeq, a predicted model, not a curated record